Callithrix jacchus (white-tufted-ear marmoset) is the source of this 117-nucleotide unclassified non-coding RNA. It matches the Rfam family "Metazoan signal recognition particle RNA". From Rfam's summary of the family: The signal recognition particle (SRP) is a universally conserved ribonucleoprotein. It is involved in the co-translational targeting of proteins to membranes. The record is from Ensembl. NCBI's taxonomy places the organism in Eukaryota, Metazoa, Chordata, Mammalia, Primates, Cebidae.
GCUGGGUGUGGUGGCUCACACCUGUAAUCCCGGCACUUUGGGAGGCCGAGGCAGGUGGAUCACCUGAGGUCAGGAGUUCGAGACCAGCCUGGCCAACAUGGAGAAACCCUGCCUCUA